CCCCUCUCAGGGGAACACCUGGAGAGUUCUCAGUACUUUACCAGUUUCGACUAUGGGAGGGAAAGUUAGGCAGAGACAUAUCCUUUCCAUUCCUAGCUUGGGCAGUGACUAGUGAGUGGAAGGCAAUCUGCUACAAGU
Small nucleolar RNA from Tachyglossus aculeatus (Australian echidna), 138 nucleotides. NCBI's taxonomy places the organism in Eukaryota, Metazoa, Chordata, Mammalia, Monotremata, Tachyglossidae. The record is from RefSeq and is a predicted model, not a curated record.